This 899-nucleotide ribosomal RNA is filed under the name uncultured bacterium. RNAcentral describes it as "bacterial SSU rRNA". It matches the Rfam family "Bacterial small subunit ribosomal RNA", at positions 428 to 1343 of the family's 1533-position model. The record is from RNAcentral.
AAGCUCUAUCAGCGGGGAAGAAGGAAGACGAUACCCGAUUAAGAAGCCCCGGCUAACUAAGUGCCAGCAGCCGCGGUAAUACGUAGGGGGCGAGCGUUAUCCGGAUUUACUGGGUGUAAAGGGAGCGUAGACGGCGGCGCAAGUCUGAAGUGAAAGCCCGUGGCUCAACCGCGGAACCGCUUUGGAAACUGUGAGGCUGGAGUGCUGGAGAGGUAAGCGGAAUUCCUGGUGUAGCGGUGAAAUGCGUAGAUAUCAGAAGGNCCCCCGGUGGCGGUGGCGGCUUGCUGGNCCGUGNCUGNCGUUGNGGCUCGNANGCGUGGGGACCCUAAAGGGAAANANACCNNNNNANUCCACAAANNAAAGGCCCCAUGAAGAAUGUCGGGGGGCAAAGCCCUUCGGGUGCCGCCGCUAACGCAAUAAGCACUCCACGUGGGGAGUACGUUCGCAAGAAUGAAACUCAAAGGAAUUGACGGGGACCCGCACAAGCGGUGGAGCAUGUGGUUUAAUUAGAAGCAACGCGAAGAACCUUACCAAGUCUUGACAUCCCGACGACGCCCUCAGAGAUGAGGGUUCUCCUCGGAGCGUCGGAGACAGGUGGUGCAUGGUUGUCGUCAGCUCGUGUCGUGAGAUGUUGGGUUAAGUCCCGCAACGAGCGCAACCCUUAUCCUCAGUAGCCAGCGGCCAGGCCGGGCACUCUGUGGAGACUGCCAGGGACAACCUGGAGGAAGGCGGGGAUGACGUCAAAUCAUCAUGCCCCUUAUGACUUGGGCGACACACGUGCUACAAUGGCGUAAACAAAGGGAGGCGAAAGGGUGACCUGGAGCGAACCCCAAAAAUAACGUCCCAGUUCGGAUUGUAGUCUGCAACCCGACUACAUGAAGCUGGAAUCGCUAGUAAUC